GACGAACGCUGGCGGCGUGCCUAAUACAUGCAAGUCGAGCGAAUGACGAGGAGCUUGCUCCUUUGAUUUAGCGGCGGACGGGUGAGUAACACGUGGGUAACCUACCCUAUAGACUGGGAUAACUUCGGGAAACCGGAGCUAAUACCGGAUAAUACUUUUGAACACAUGUUCGAAAGUUGAAAGAUGGUUUCGGCUAUCACUAUAGGAUGGACCCGCGGCGCAUUAGCUAGUUGGUGGGGUAAUGGCUCACCAAGGCAACGAUGCGUAGCCGACCUGAGAGGGUGAUCGGCCACACUGGGACUGAGACACGGCCCAGACUCCUACGGGAGGCAGCAGUAGGGAAUCUUCCACAAUGGACGAAAGUCUGAUGGAGCAACGCCGCGUGAGUGAAGAAGGAUUUCGGUUCGUAAAACUCUGUUGCAAGGGAAGAACAAGUAGCGUAGUAACUGGCGCUACCUUGACGGUACCUUGUUAGAAAGCCACGGCUAACUACGUGCCAGCAGCCGCCGUAAGAC
Molecule: ribosomal RNA, 515 nt
Filed under: uncultured bacterium
Lineage: Bacteria
Description: bacterial SSU rRNA
Rfam family: Bacterial small subunit ribosomal RNA
Source: RNAcentral